GACAGAGGAUGCAAGCGUUAUCCGGAAUGAUUGGGCGUAAAGCGUCUGUAGGUGGCUUUUUAAGUCCGCCGUCAAAUCCCAGGGCUCAACCCUGGACAGGCGGUGGAAACUACCAAAGCUGGAGUACGGUAGGGGCAGAGGGAAUUUCCGGUGGAGCGGUGAAAUGCGGUAGAGAUCGGAAAAGAACACCAAACGGCGAAAGCACUCUGCUGGGCCGACACUGACACUGAG
RNAcentral lists this ribosomal RNA (231 nucleotides) under uncultured bacterium. RNAcentral's name for it is "partial 16S ribosomal RNA". It matches the Rfam family "Bacterial small subunit ribosomal RNA", at positions 524 to 750 of the family's 1533-position model. The record is from RNAcentral.